UAUUCAUGUGCCUCUAUGGAAAAACAUGUUUUUGCCAUGUGCCGCUUGUCUUUGUGAUCGUAUACAGCUUGAGUCCACAAGAACUUUAAUCAGGUGACCUUUCAUAACCCUCAGGGUAUAAACUGUCGAAUGUUCUGAAUAAAGCUGGCUAUCUAAUGUGACUUUAGUCUGCCUCCUUUUUAGGGCCCACUAUCCCAAGUGACUGUGGAACAUAGGUCCCUUGUUUUCCAAGACAGAUAGGGGAAAGAGAUGAUGAGGACAUGCAGCCUAUAAUUCAGGGCAACCUACAACCAGUUUUCUAGGGAGGCUGAGGCAAAGCUCAGUGUCCAGGAAAUUCAGAGCUGGUUUCUCUGUUGGGAGUUCUAGAGGGGUGAGUCAUUAAGGGAGAGGAUCAGAGUGUCACCAAGUAGAUUGAAUCCUCUCAUUGGACUGCAUCUACCUGUCACCCAUGCUGUGAAAACCUGGCUUGUACAACAUACACAGAAGUCUCCUCAGUACAUUUUCUAGAUGGGCACAUCCUCUAAGUGCUGGUUUGGAAUCAUGGACACAAGUCUUGGUUCCAAUGCUACUUCUGGAUAUAAACUGACUAGUUUUUUUUUUUUUUUUUCCAACUGUAAAGUAGGGAUAUUUGGCUAGGUACAUAACCUUUUCCAUAGGUUUUUGGUUAGGAUUAUAUUCAUUCACAUAAAAUUACUUGCAAGCUACAAUGAAAUAUAAAAAUUAAAGAUUAUUUCUGACCAUUCUUGUUACAAAUACUAAUGAUAACUGAUGCCAUGAGUUUCUCAUUUAUCUAAUGCUUUUUGUUUUUUAAACUUUUAUUUUCUUAUUAUUUUAAAGUGUGUGUCUGUGUAUCUGGGUGUGGCUGAGUGCUAGAGUCUAUAGAGGUCAGAGGGGUCAGGUCCCCUGGAACUGGAGGUACAGGCGGUUAUAAGUCACCCGAUAUGGGUGCUGGGAAUUGAACUUGGGUCCUUUGAAAGAGCAUCAUUAUGUACUCUUACUUGCUGAACCAUCUGUCCAGCCCCUUGUUUUUUAGUUUUUUAUACUUGGGGACAGUUAGUAGGACUUCAGAGAUUCAUAAUCCCUAGCCUCUGUCCUUGUGAUCUAAGAAGUCUGGGGGUGGGGGCAGUGGGUACAAUCGCUUGUGUGAGUUUUCUGUGCUGAGACAAGGCUUAGUGGAACUCUGCAGGAGCUUUGCUCUUUCUCAUUGGUGGCGCAUGCUGAAGACUUGCAUGCUCAGAAAAGGAUGGAGGGCGGUUAUCUUUAAGUUUGAGCUCAUACUGCGUCCAGGCACUUUUAUGCCCACCAUCUUCUUAACAAGCUAGGGAACUAGGUAUUAUUAUGCCCAAUUUAUGGAUGAGGAAGCUGAGGAGGUGGGAUAAAUUUCAAAUUUUAAUAAAACUGAAAAAUAUAAAGCCAAAAUUUAAACCCAGGUUAUCCACCUGCAGGUUCCCCCGCGCCCUUGUUACCUUCUCAGCAGACUGCGUCCUCAUAGAACUAACUCACUAUGUUAAUCCCAAGCGACCUUCUUACUUGGGUCUUUUCCCAUGAGAGAGAGGUUAUGAGAUUUGGCAUAGGCAUUCUGUUACUCUUUCUUCUUGUACUUCCUAUGAUGAGACCCUUCUCUCUACACUCUGCCCUGACUUCUCCCUCUCUUCCAGUCCCAAAGAGAGGCCAAGGAGUCAAGGACCUCGAUGUAUGAAGAGCCUGCAGAGAGCUCCCUGCCCCCUUAGAAAUCCUGGGACAAACACACAGAAGACAAAAUACACACAUACAAUUCUGCUCAAGGAGGCCACAUAGACCAAGCCUUGAUUGCCAAUUUUUGGAGACGUGGGAAGUCUCAAAAUAUGAUUUCCAGAUUGCUUGUUUUACAGCUUGCUUCUUUGAAGAACGGCGGACAGCUGAAGGCAUACAUACAGUAGCAUCUAUUCCCACCUGGGGUGUCUGCUCCUAUGCUCUGGCCGCCUCCAUCAAAUUCAUGGUGGGUUAAUUCCAUUGUUACGGUAUUCCGAGGUGGGACCUAAUUAGGAUUAGAUGAGAAUGGAGCCCCGUGAUCUUAUUAGCCUUGUUGGAAGGGGAAGGAAACCACAGUGUGCGUGCUGCCUCCAGACCGCAGAGUCCCUGGGAGCCAAGGGCCCUGUCACACGCAGCGCCUGAACCUGAAUGGUAAGAACUAAACUUUCGUUACUUACUAUUCGCCCAGUUUGUGGUGUUCAGGAACAACAGAAAGUGACCUAAAAUACCCAGAAAUCUAACGACGUUCAGCGUCUUCGCCAGAGGAGGAAGAGAGUUGGCGCUCGUUACCUUCACAGUGACUCACCCACCGCCCCAGUUCUUUGAAGUUCCUAAUCAAUGCUGUCACCUUCUGACUUGUCCCAACCAUAGAACAAGAAUACAGUGAGCUUUUCUGGUAACUGGGGACACACUUCUCCACUGGGGAGUUUGGAUCCUCUCAACGUUCUCUUAAGUGGGCAUGGAUUCUUUCUUCUGGCUUCCUCCACUGGUCCUAUCCUCCCUCUUGGAGUUAGGUGGCAUGGCCUUCCUCCUCCUUGCAUUCAGCCAGUCCAGUAUUAUUUAGAGAGAGGAUCGUCAGUCAUUAUCGUGGUGUAUGUGGGGCUGGGGCUCAGGGAGCAGGAUGCCAACCUAGCGUGCACAGAACCAUCCCUAGCAGUGUAUAUGCUGGGCACGUGGCACAGGAGGCACGGUACUCAGGAGGCAGAGGCAGGGGGAUCAGAAGUUCAAGGACAUCCUCGGUUACAUAGUGAGUUCAAGGCCAGUGUGGGAUGCACUAGACCCUGUCUCAAAACAAACAAACAGACAAACAACAACAACAAGAAAACCACCACCAACAACAACAACAGAAAACCCAUUCAAAGAAAAACUAAAAACCCCCAAAUCCCAAGAAACUCACUGACUAUUGCCACACCAUCCCUUCAGCUAUGGUGGCUGCCUUCCUUAUGAAUCUUGGAGCAUGGAGAGACAGAGGAAGCGGGGUACACUGAGGGCAUCACACAAUGUUCAGACUUCAAGGGAAUACUCAACUAUUUUCUCCUCCUCCCAUUCAUCUAGCUGGGCAACCUCUGGGCUCAGUGUAGCCAGUACUUCGAACCUCCUUUCCAGACUUUUCUUAUUUUGACUGUUCUAUUCUGCACACACCACAGUUUAUUACCUGGCUAAUUGGUACUAUCCCUGGCAUCAAAAACAAUAGCACUAUCAGGACUCCGUGGACAGGUGGCAAUCACACCACCAUUUCUUGGGGCUGGAAUUCUAUCACAUUAUCAUGCCCAUAAAACAAGACAUGAACAAAGCACCCGGAAGGGUGUAACAUGUUACCUACCAUUGUUCUUCUCCUUGAUGUGGUCCGAGCCUCAUCAGCUCUUUUGUUUGAAGCUAAAUGACGACACUACCACUUCCACUGGCGUGGGAUCUCAGUCACCCCUAUUCUCAUCUUGCUAUGUGUUUCUUUCUCUUGAACUUAGGCAGGAGUGAAAAAUACAGCGCAGACACAGGACUUUGUGUCUAUGUUAAGUUAUUUCCUCUGGUUCUCGGUCCAACCUCCAGUCUAACCAGACCAUCAUUCUGUGACCUUCGUUACAGCUCUCCCAUCAUUUGGGGAUUAAGUUAUAUAACGGCAAACCCAGGGAUCAAGUCUCCCCUCGGUCAGACAUGGUAUAGUGGUAACCUUAGCAUGGAGGUGCUGUACUGAUGCAGGAUCUUCAGGACCCUGCUCCUACCGGCCCACUUGCAGUUUAAGGUAGCGUCACAGAGCUUUAGAUGAGAUGGACCUAAGAGAACAUGCCCUCACCUUGGAGCAGGAUGGAAAUCCAGGUCUGCAGACCUCAAUUCUGUGGAUUUUGUGGUUUUUUUGAGGGGGGGGGUUGUUUGUUUUUGUUUUUGUCAAAACAGAAGACACUACGCUAAGUUCACAUUGAAUUUUCUAAAUGAUUUCCUGACAACCUCUAUCAGAAAAGUAAUAAAAGAAUCUAUCUUUAGUCAGCUUUAUUAUCUGUGCAUGGGUGUCAAUCACUGGCUCUAGUUUCCAGGGACUAGAGAGAAGUGCCUCAAUAUGUAGUUUUCACUGUAUACCCUUCUGUCUUUGGGAAAGUGGUGUGGCAUUUGUCUUUGCCUUUCAUGGGACAGAAUCUCCUGUUUUCUACAUGGAUCAGAGUGACUUCUGAAUGAUAUCUAGAGAAUUUCCAACAACUUGGACUCAAAUGUGUGUGAAUUUUCAAAGGCCAUUAAGUUCUCCAUUGCCGUACCUUAGACAUGGUGGGACGUUAGCAUGUUUCCCCAUAUUUAAUUUAGGACCUGAUCGAGUUCGAUACUCUGUUGCUGUGAUAAACACUGACCAAAACUAAGCCCAGGAGGCAAGAAUUUACUUGGCUUACAUAUCCCAGAUCACAGUCCAUCACUGUGAGAAUUCGGAGCAGGAACUCAAGUUAGGAACCUGGAAGUAGGAACUGAAUCAGAGGCAAGGGAGGGUUGCUGCUUACUGGCUUGCUCCCCAAGGCUUGCUCAGCCUGCCUUCUUAUACAGUUCAGACCAUCUGCUUAUGGGUGGUACCACCCACAAAGUGCUAGGUCCUCCUACAUCAACCAUCAGUCUAGACAAUACCCCACAGAGCAGCCCACAGGCCAAUCUGAUGGAGGCAAUUUCUCUAUUGUGGGUUCUCCUUCCCAGGUACCUCGAGUUUAAGUCAAGUUUAUAAACACUAACCAGCACAAAGCCACUAGCAGUACGGAAAAGAAGAAAAUGUCCAGAAUGGCAGAGUCCUACUGAACUAUACUUCCUACAUUUCAUUCUGUUCCUGUUUGUUGUUUUUUUUUUUUUUUUUUUUUUGGUUUUUCGAGACAGGGUUUCUCUGUGUAGCUUUGCGCCUUUCCUGGAUCUCACUCUGUAGACCAGGCUGGCCUCGAACUCACAGAUAUUCGCCUGGCUCUGCUGUUUUGCUUUUUCACAUCACAUCAUGUUCUCAGCUGCAGCUUCCCAGAGCCAGGCUUGUAGGUCGGAGGUGUUCUUUGCACAGUUCCUCCUGGGCGUGGCUACACGGUGCCUUUGUCUCUGUGUACAACCCCCUUAGCGCAUGCGCAUCCUGGCCUCUCUGCUGCUGUCACCAUGACUUGGAAACAAGAGCCCCUUUCCCUUCUCAAUGUGUUUAAUGAUCUGUUGCGAGUUUAUCUUGGAAAGUGUUCUUAUUGGUUCACCCUUCCUAGGCUAUUGCUAAUUAGGAAUUUAGGCUCUGGCCCACUGUGCCAAAACUUGUCUGCACUUCAGAAUGGGCUUUCCUCAACUCUGUGCCUGGAACUGUCCCCUUUCCUGCAUCUCUUCCUAGAUCCAAUAGCUACUUCCCUUCCUGGUUGGAGUAACUUCCAUAGCACUUCCAUUUAUUCAUCGUUGAUUGAAAUAUCUCUUCCCUUCUGAGAAGUAGUAAUAGUCACAGCGACCCUUGGCCAGACUUCCUCGGGCACCAGGCUGGCCUUCACCUACCCUGUCUCUUAGGAUCCUAGCGGUGAGGGAGAUACCACUGCUGCCCCAGCGGGUGGUGGAGGCGCUGGCUCAAGGUCAUUGCACAGAUGUAGCCGGAGGUUGCCAAUGCCGGCGCUGGAUGCCAGGUUCCACCCUAGAGAUGAGGUGGUGAAGCUGAUGCUGAUUUACAGCAAAAUUCAGCUUGCAGCUGUUGUUUGAAUAAUUGGAUCUCCCACUGCCGUUCUAUCUUAUAAGGGCUUAGACAUUAGUGUUAUGAAAUCCCGUCUCUAGGCCAGAUUUGUUUAAAAACAACCCACAAAACCAAAGAACUAGACCACCAGCACUCUCCUUGACAAAUAGGCACCUUUCUUCCUUGCCAGCAGCCUUAAGUGUCCUCUGUCUGUCUGUCUGUCUGUCUGCAGCCAUAUCCUGCUAGGAGUGUUCACCGUUGCUGCCUCCCUAGAAGAGCAGUCCUCCUCUGUUCUUGGUAGACUGUCCUCUUACAUUCUCUAUCCGGUGUAAAGUGGGGCAAACAGGAGACAUGGGAGGAUUCUGAGGUGUUUGACACUGAGGUCUCUACCCACCCUUGGGCUCUGAGACAGAGGGAUUUAAAUCCUGGCUCUCUUGUAAGACUGCUGUGUGAUUCUGGCUUGGUUCUUAAUCUCUCUGAGCUUUAAGCAGUCAACUAGAAAAUGAAGGUGGGGAAUGAUGGAGUUUUGGUGGGGGCAGAGGCAACCCCUAACUCCUGCAUGAUUUGACCUCCCCCUGCUCCCUGCCAUUGGCUGGAGCAGUUUAAUGCCGCCGCCGCCGCCGCUCCUCUGCACACCUGCCUCCUAGCCCCAGUCUCUACUUCCUUCAGAACUCCGCGAAGAUGCAAGGCUUGCUGUACUGAGUCUAAGAAAGUGGAGCCGGGAGUGGAGCACUUGAGGGCCUAACUGGAACACAGGACAUGGCCUGUUCCCCAGCUAAAUCCUCCGUGCUCCAUGACGUCACCCCCACCCCCCCACCCCCACCCCCACCCCCGUGACUGCAGGGAGAGCCUAGAGGCCCUUUCCUGACGCCCUGAACUAGGCUGGGGUUCUCAGGCUCGGCUCCUGAGCCCUGGUUGGGGCUGCACCGCCCCAGCAUUUACAGCUAGUCAUGCUGCUCAGAAUCGGCGCAGGGGCAGGUACUGCAGGGGCCACCGAGGCCUGCUCAGCUCCUGCCCUGUGACCCCAGGCCCCACAGUUCUGACUUCCUCAGAGCGGGAUGGUUCUGGGGAGAAGGUCGUUGUGACUAGGUUAGGAGGCCACAGGCCUUGCUGAGCAAAUUACUAAAGAGCUCAGGAUUAGUGGUGUUCUCCCUCCACCCCGCUUUGGGUCUCUGCAAUUCUGGGCUGAACCUAGACUCUCCCAGCUCUCGUCUUCGCUGAGGGGGUUGACAGCAUCAGAGGGGAGGGAGGCAGAGCAUCAUGCACCCUGCAGCAGGGCCCCCUCGGUAACCUGAAAAGGUAGAGGGGAGGCCUCCUGCAUUCAAGCCCCGUCAACCCUUUCCUGCAGGUCCUCGGGGACAGAGAAUCUAUUUAUUUGGCGACCUCUUUCAGUUUUUAGGCUGCGUUAUCCCUAACCUGGAUUCUCCACACCACCCGCAGGCAAGUUUUUCUCUAGUUUGGUAGCAGAUUGUUUUUCUCUCGAAGCUCCACCCACCACUGGGCUGGGUCUGCUUGGGGAGUUAGGAGGUGGAGCUCAGCCCUGAAGAGCUCUGGGGGCUCCUCCCGGCUCUCAUCUUCCGGCUCCCCGGGUUUCCAGGGUACUCUGCCGCUGCAUUAUUCUGAUAUGUCCCCCCUUCACUUCGUUUUAAUCUUUUUAUUAUGGGUAUUUCUAAAGGUGCAGGAAAAUAGAGAGAAAAUAACACCCAGCACAGAGGUUAUAUCUGGCAUGCAUGUCGAAUUGUUUGUUCUACAGCAGACCCGGAUUUUCUCUUUCCGUCCGUAAAUACUGUGUAUCUUUAAAAUUACUUCCGUCAUCAACACUCUUCAAUGGCAAUCAUAAUUCCUUAACUUUCUCAACAGUCCCCUUUUCUCUAAUUACCAGUUUGUCUGAAGGUGUGACUGCUUUUAGUUGAGAGAUCUCAGGUUGGUUUGUUUGUUUGGGGGGUGGGGUUAAUCCUUUUUGGAGGCAGGGUCUGAGGAGGAUACUGAGCCUCUUCCCAGCGAGUGACCAAAUCCAGGAGGGAGCUCCUGCUGAGGGAGAAACACUGGGCCGUAUCUAUAGAAAAGGUCUUUCAGUUACAGCGCAGAAGGAGAGGGCUGAGGUCGAGGUGGACCGCAUCCUGACCUUUGACUGGGUUCCCACGGCUGGGCCUCACCGCUUCAGACCAAGCCUGAAGGGCAGGGGGUGGGGAACUGACAUAAGCCUGGGCACCCCUCCCCUCCUCUGCCUCUCUUUUGAGGGAACAGGAUACCAACAAGAGUCAAGCAGAGCGAGCUCCGGUAGAUCACCCUGUGUAGUCCCAAGGUCUUGUGGAGCCCGGGAGAAGACAGCCAGUGGUGGCAGGAGGGCAGGGGUCCUUGCGGAUUUGGCUUGGCCGCCGAGAGGGCAUUUCAGGGUUCUGGGGAAGACCGGCCCCUAACUGGUCUGCCCUCUUUGGUUUGGCAAGAAGAUAAUAGCUGAGGUUGAUAGUUAGCUGGGUCCCGGUAACUGCCUGUUGUAGAGACUACAUUGUUCUGUGUGGCCAAAGACAAAGAGUUGGGGGUCUGUUUACCGCCCCGUUUAUGUCUGAUACAUCCCAACCUGCCUGAGACGCAGUGGCUCCUCACAACUCUUCCAAGUGUCUAGCAGGUAAGUAGUUCUCUGCCUUUCAUUGCUUUGAUUUCCCCAAGGGACACGAAGCUCAACAGAAGGGAAGAACAGUGUCCCACACGGCUCUGUGUCUUCCACAGACCCAGGACUAUCUAACCCAUAUCGGGUGUUCAAUAUAACUACCUGUGAAUCGAAAGCCGAGAAUUUGUGGAGAAAUCCUUGUUUCCUAAAAGGGAAAACAAGCUGUUCCAUGGAGACCACUGACAGAAUCUUCCUAGAUGGAUCUGCCCAACCUCCUUAGAUGAAUACAGUGAUGGCUAAAUAAAGUGGACUCAAUGCCCAGGACAGGGAGAGAUGUGAAUGUUAAUCCUAGUCUGCAGGAAGUAUUCCUCUGUUCAUAGCUAAAGUACCACCCUCCACACCCCCCCCCCCAACAGGAAGAGGCAUGGGAGGCUGGCUGCUGAGGCAGAGAAGACAGAAGCACUCACUCAUUCAUCAAGCAUCUAUGCUAGAGCUAAGGAUGGAGUGGAAAUAGGACAUGACCCAGUUCCCCAGGUGCUUUCUCAGUCAGUGUUGGAGACAGGUGCUGCUAACCGCUCACCAGCAAGGCCUCCAGAAAAAACAAAACCAAAGAGCAAGCAAUUGUGUUCUAAGGUAGGAACGCUCUGACUAUAGCCAAUCACAAGCUACAACAGCAUCAACAGAAAGAGUCGGGAAGAGAGGCACCAGCAGGCAGGCCGGCUUUGAUAACUGAUGGGCAGAGACAAAAAGACCCAGAAGGAAGCUCAUACCCUUCUAUCGCAGGGCCUAUGGCUGAAUUAGAGAAUUCACUCUGCAUGUAAGAAAAGUAGCCAGGGAAAUCACUGUAUUUGCUUUCUCUAGAGAAGAACAAGAGUGAGUGCUUUCAGAGUUAAUGUCUGCUACGUACUGUGAGGGAAGAAACCAUGCUAUAUUGAGUGGAGAGAGUGGUCUUGGGAAGACAGUCUACCUGUCUGCACACAAAAAUGGGUCUGGUGUGUAGGUAAAUCUUACAGGCAAUAGCUUGCCCUGUGUUCAGAGAGGCUAUUUGAUAUGAUUUUAGGAGCUGAUAUCUGUCGUGGGCAGUAAGAUAAUAACAUCCACAUAUAAUAAUGCACAUCAUUUUUAGCAACUUUAUGAACCAGGCGCAUCAAAUAUUUUAUAUCUAAUCCAUUUAACUCUGCCAUGUCAGUAUUUAUAUGCUCAUUACGCACACGAGGAAACACUGACGUGAAACUAAGGAAGGUCUUUCUCUUCCAAACUUCUCUUUAGUGCUUGUCUUCUCUCAACUGCCAGGUUUCUUGUAUGAGAUGCAAGUGGCAAGACCCAGAAGCCAGAGCAAUGUAAAGAGCUUGUGCGCGAGAUCUGCUCGUGCUGUGCUGGUACCUCUGAGACAACGUGGAGCGUCUGUUCUAACAAGAGCAGUCGGUGGGGAGAUGGUUCUGGGGUUAAGAGCACUUGACGCUGUCACAGAGGACCUGGGCUGGGUUCCCAGCACUCACCGAGCAAUUCACAACUGUCUGCAAUUUCAGUUCCAAGGGACUGAUACCCUCUUCCGGCCUCCAGGAAUACUGUACACAUAUGUCUGUACACAGACAUACACGCAGGCAAAACCUCAUACACAUAAAAUUAAAAACAAAAACAAAAAAACAAGUCUUUAAAAAAAGUAGAAUUAUGGAUCGAUAAAUGGAGGUAUAUAGGAACUGGGACUGUACAGCUCGUUGUGAAUUAAUGUGAUACUAUGUAAAAGAUACAUCAUUAGCCUUAUGAAAGACAGUCACACAGAAGAGUGAGGAGGAUAAUAAUAUGCCUGCAACGAGGACUUCAUUCAUGCAUCCACAGAUACUGUGUAUUUCUUUUAUUCCAAGCAAUGUGCCAAAUGCCAACUAGGGAAUCAAUCGCAGGGAACAGGACACACAACUCUUGUGCAGUAUCAGGGAGCAUGUUCUGAAUGUCCAUGCUAUCUAGACAUGAACGGGCUUCUUGAGGGCUCCCUACCCUUCCAGUAAUCAGGAGGAGGUCAAAGCCUCACUUACUAGAAUAUGCUAGGAUUCACUCUUUUGUUGAGUGUGUAAGUUAAAAUAAAAUCCCUUCUGGUUCAGAGAUCUGAAAUUUGGAAUUUACUCUGGCAGGCUACCGCAGGCUGCAUUUAAGUUUCUUGUCCUAAUGUCCCUCUGUGGCCAGCCUUGAUCUCCCAGCUGUGUGCUCCACAUUCUUUGCAGCUAGCUCUGGUGGGCUAGCUAGCUAGCCUGGAAAGGAGCUGCCAUCUGUGACAGGGAUGAUGGAGUGCUGGUGAAUUGUGUGGGCUCAAGGAAUGUGGCAUUGAAGCCGCGCACACACAACCUGCUGAAGAGCAUCCCAUGGGCAGAAACUGUUUUCUUCCUCUCUGGCCCUGCUCUGUUGCUAUGCCAGGAGGGCACAAUGGCGCCUUUGACAGGGGCAGCUGGAAGGGGGUAUUGGCAGAGAGGCUAGAAGUAGAGUACUGCAGCUGGGAGUGGGGGUGGGGGGCUCAAGUUCAUGUCCAGGAGUGAGCCUGCACUGGGUGCCAGUUUCCAAAACAAAACUGCUGUUCCUCAGAGCUGGUGGUGGCGGGUUGCCUCAGAACUGGACCGAGGGCAAAGCCAUUUCCUCUCUACAGCUCCACCUCUCCAAGUUUAGAAAAACUUUGGUAUGUUAGGGCAUUCUUGCUCAGGAUGCAGAUUAAUAGGCUCUGCUGCCUCUCUGGAGGGCUGAGGCCAGUGCCUGGAUGGGAUUUUCUAAGAGUCCAACUCCAUUAAGCAGAGCAGGACUGGUAGACGUAGGACCUGGCAGGGCUCCAGGGCAGGUAGACUUCUGGGCAAUGAGCAGGGCUCAGAAUGGAGGCCUGUUCUUCUGCCGUACAGGACCACUAGCUCCAAUCUCACCGCCCAGCAUCCUCAUUGCCGACGUGGCUCUGCCCACACACAGUUUUAACUCAGUUCAGUGGGAAAGAGGUGGGAGAACCGUGGCAUUUCCUGUCCUGGUUCACAGUUGUCCAGACCCUCUGCGACAGCUCAGAGCUGGGCGUGGGAUGUCUUCCCACUCUCUUGGGGGUUAGGAGGUCUGAGUGCCAGGCUGUUCGCUCUGGCAUCCAUUCCCCCUUUUGUGUUACAAACGGAGCAGGUGGCUCCCUUUCAUUCUAGGGGCUGCCAGCAAAAAGGUGUGACUUCAAGUGGUCAUUGGCAAUUUCUAUUAAUGUUCACACUAAAUGCGAGAGUUUCACACUUCCACUCAACUUUUUUUUUUUUUUUUAAAUCAGCAAAUCACAGUUGAGGAAAUACUUCCUUUUAGGCUCUUUGCUGGCUCUGUGACUGCAAAAUGAAAAGACAGUCCUUGCUUCAGAAAACUAACUGUCAAAUGCACAGGGCAAGUCCUGAAGGGGAGUUGGCCUGUCAACUGAAUACCCACACGCAUUAUUAGUUAGACAGUAGAGGUGUAAUGCAGAACUGUCCCUCUGUGGGUAUUCUGGCAUUGUGGGGGACAUGUGAGGCUGGCAUCACAGACCUAGGCUUGAAACUCGUCUGCUCUUAGAGUAUUUAUUUUGAGACAGGGUCUCACUGUGUAGCCUUGGCUACCCUGGAACUUGGUAAGUAUACCAGGUUGGCUUCCAGCUUACAGAGAUCCACCUGCCUCUGCUAGGAUUUAAAGGUGUGACCCACUGUGCCUUCAAUGAUGAGUGUUUAUUUAUAUUCAUGAGACUUUAUAAGGAUAACACACAGGAUGCAGAGUUGUUAGGAUAAUUAAAUAAGACGUUGUAUGGAAGUGCUAGGAUUUGUGGAUCAUAAUAGACUUGAGGUACAUGUAUUUGUGCAUAAGGACAUUUAGUCAGUCCCUUGUUAAGAGCCUCUGCCCUUCAUUAAAGAGUCAAUUCUUUUCCUUCUGUAACCUCACAGGUGUUAGAAAGAGAUUUCUCUUCUGCAUUCCACAAACCAUAUUUGUUUAUUCUGUUCUUUAUUUGACAGUCCAGUUGUAGAGGGAACAGAAGGAUUAGAAUAUUUUUCCUCCCGGAAGUACCUGAAUUGUGGAGUGUGGUAAGGAAGAUCAUGCACUCUUUUCGAUAGUCUAGAAUAUCUAAGGAAGCUAUUGCGUUUUCCACAGACAGGCUCUCCCUGCUCACUCUCACCUUGAAAGAUACUUUGUUUGAGGGAAGUUAUUCUUUUACCAAGGGACUUUGACAACCAAAAAGCUAAGCUUUCUUGGGGGCAGAGGUUAGCUGACAGAAUCUUCCAGAAACUUGCUGGGCACAGGGCUCUAACCUGGAAUGUCAGUGAUGGGGCCCCUGCCUCAGUCCUCUAAGAUUUCCUGAUAAGUUUUUAUCAGACACACUGCCUACCACCCAGCUGUUCCUGAGAAAAUGUAGGGAUUAGGUUUAAUCUUUAAAUGUCAUUCCUAAGUCCUUAGAAGACACAGAAUAUGCUAUUGUCAAGAAUCUGAAGACAAAGGGAAAUCAAAGCGAUUCACACAAAAGACAAAGGCGAUAGACGAGAACGACAAAGUAAAAGCACAUAGAGGAACAGAGCUUGAUGUGAACUGCCGGGUGCACAUGGACAGGAAAGACAAGAAGAGGGUCACUCGAGGGAGAGAAGAAGUUGCAUCAGAGCUGAAAGCAAACAAUGGGAUUUCCUAAGGGGAAUUAACAAAAACAGUUUGUCCUGAGUCAGCGGAACAACGUUGACUCCAUGCAGGAGACUUGUAGUCAAUGCACGGGUAAGGAGCAGGGAGGCAUGCGUCUUGGUACCGUGUUUGAAAAUGGAUUUCGUGGAUUGAAAGAGGCCAGUAAUCCUAGAACUGCUGGUGCCUGGUAGGUGAGAUUGAAGGGGCACUAGCUCACUCGAACACGUGACUCUGGCAGCCUUGCCCUUCUUCUCCAUUCCCUCUUCCUUGCUAAAAACCAUUAGAUUACAUUCCUAAAGCUAGCCAUCAAGGUCUGUUCCCUUAUUUGGCCACUAGUCCUCCUGAGGCUGACCACCAAGGUCCAGCUAUUAAGAUACUGAAGUUCAGAAAUCAAAAGCCUCCUUUAGUUCAUGUAAUUAACAUGCCCAAUCAAAACAUACCACCGCAUCCUAGCCCAUUCUAACACAGACCUCCCUUUUCCCCCUCUUCUUAAAAAUGGCAUCUGCAAGGUCAUUUGCUGCUGUUUUUCCGCCUGAGUCAGAAAGCAGCGUUUUGUUUUGUUUUUUUUUUAACUUUAGUUCCCCACUUAAUAAAGGCUUUCUCUGUGAAAAUGGGUGUUUGGGUGUGUUGUGUGCCUAGUCCAGGGUCUGAGAGGGAGCCCCCGUGUGGGGGCCUCCUUUAGAGAUUGUUGGUUACUUUUCUGGUUUUUUUUUUCCCCUCAUAUUUUUUGAUGCAGUUGUCAUUUUGACCUUUGAAAUCAGUAAAGACUAGCGGAGAAAGCUUGAGGAAGCUCAGGCAGGUGCAUCUGGAGUUGCUGAGCCCUGGCAGAUGGGCGGGGAAAGGAAGCCAGAAGUGCUCAGAGCUGCCUGGAAGGGCUACCCUGGGGCUGAUGCGGGACACAGGGACCAGUAGGCUUGAUUGAGGAAGGAAAUGCACUAGGAAACUCUGACCCUAAGAUGCCCUAACUUGGCUUUUCGCCAUUUUAUUUUCUCACUUCCUUCUCCCUUGAAGAUGUUUCCAUUUAUUCUACUCUGGUUGGUUGGGCUGAGUGGCCAUUCCCACUUAUUCGCUCCAUGCUCUGAAAGGCUAACGAAGUUCAUGUCAUGCCAGAAAGAACCAAGGCUUAAAGAUUCACACCCUUCUUCCAAGUUAAGAGUGUGCAAAACAGCAGGGGGAGCGGGCAAGGCAGGACCAGAGGACACCCAGUUGGUCCCUGAGAGUCCUGGUUUCUUUUCUGUCACACACUGGGCUGAGUGAACUUGAUGAAGCUAAUUAAUCUUUGAAGUCCUUGAUUGUUGUCUUUUGAAUAAUAAUGGCAUUGGGGGGGCUGGCACAGGGACUCGGGGUAAAGGCGCCUACUACUGUUGCUUUGUAACAGUUUCCUCUGAGAUUGAAACAGUCCAUCCUGCAGGCGAGCUCUAUAAACAGGAAGGUAACAAUUCAAAACAGCUUCAGGAAGUCCCGGAAACUGACCAGAUUCACUAGGCUCCUCCCGGCCAGAGUGGCAGAGUCAUGCUGCAAAGACUCUGAGACUAGACCACCUGCCUGGAAGAAGCCUGUAACCGCUGAGCUGCCUGGGAGAGGCUUAAACCAACUGAGGCACCAGGAAAGGGUGACCUCUAGCUAACUUAUGGAGCUGCAUGCAGGCUGUGCUGUGUGCCCCAGGGUCUCAGCUUUGUGAGCUGUCACCCAUGCUGGGGUGGGCCUUGGUGACACUGCUGUCUAUGAGUCAUUUCUGGUCCUGUAAACAACCCCUCACCCAUGUUUCUGUAAAUAACCCCAAUAAAACUUACUGGUUCACCAAAUUGGACUUCAGUGGUGCCAUUACUUUGGUCUGAGGUGCAUUUCCUAUCUGGGAUGAGUAGACAUGUGCAUUGUCUCCCCAGGAAACGUUUUGUCUCACAACUACCCAGAACUCACAUGGUGGAAAGAGAGAACUGAGUCCUACAAGCUGUUCUCUGACCUCCAUACUAGUGUGGCUCGCAUGAACACACACACACACACACACACACACACACACACACACACACACACUAAAAUUUAAGACAUGGCAUUGCGUUGGAUCAACUAGCUAAAGGGAUCUAUCUGCCCAAUCUUAAAGUGAUCUGACUCAUUAUUUACGAAGGUUUUUGUUUUGUUUGAGACAAGGUCUCAUUAUGUAGCUGUCUGGACUGGUACUCAUUGUGUAGCCCAGGCUGGCCUCAAACUUGCUGAGAUCCUCCAGUCUCAGCCUCCUGAGUCCUGGGAUCACAGGCUAGCCCACCACACUCUGCUUUAUGAAGCUUCUUUAUACAUAUGGGCUAUGCUCUGAGAAUUUGGGAUUUUUAUAGGCAAGAUCCCAGUCAUCUACUGGGUUGGAUGUUGCUGGCACAAGGCCCUAAAAAUUCCCUUUUUGAUUUUUAAUGAUAAAUUAAAAGAGCUCUAAACAUUUUAAUGGACAUUAAAUUCAUAAAAUACACAAAUAACCACGUUAAAGUAUACAGUUCAGUGGUAUUUAACAGUCUCAUCCACAUUGUCUUUUGAUGCCUUUUUUUUCAUGGGCACUGGUGUUUUGCCAGCAGGUAUGUCUGUGUGAGGGUGUCCUGUACCCUGGAACUGGAGUUACUGACAGCUGUGUGAGCUGCUACCACAUUGCCUUCUUAAAGUGUCAUUCUAAGACUCAGCUCAGUGUCAUUUUGUGUAAUAAAGACACUGCACGGCCUCCCCAUGCUCAAGCUUGGGCACAGCAAGUUCUCCAGGUGCAGAUGGAGAGGCACAGGCUGGGUCAGAGGGUCCAUAACCAGACUUUCAGCUUCGUGUGCAUAGCCAGACUGUUCCCUGGGGUGGUUUACCACUUACAUUCCCAUUGACAGCGUCUCAGCACUAGCUUCCACUCUUAUGACCCACAGUGGAACUCUAGGAAAAGUAAGGCAGCUGUGGGGUGUCACAGUCCAGGGCUGCAGUCUCAGAAUGACGGUUUGGAAGGUGGGGCUGAGGCAGGGGGGUUGUGGUUUUGAAGCUAGCCUGAGCACCUACAUAGCAAGACUCUCUUAAAAACAAACAAGCAAAUCAAAACAAAACUCAACAAUGACAAACAAAAACCCAAACCAAAUCAUCACCCAAAUAGCAAACCAGUUCCACAUUGUCUGGAAGUGGUCUCAGAAUACUGUGGUGGUGGUGGUGGUGGUGGUGGUGUGUGUGUGUGUGUGUUUGUGUGUGUGCCUGGGUGUGCACUUGUGUGUUGAAGGAAGAAGGCAGGCCAUGGGGACUUCAGUUUUUCCUAUAAUAUUUUAUUUCUUUGAUUUAAAACUGCUUAAAGGAAUGAUACAAUAUUGAUAUAUACUGAAUGAGAGGGAAAUAGAUAUACUUUCCUUAAUACUUGAGUAAUUGAUGCACAGAGACACCCCUCCCACAUACUCUGGCUAACAGUGUUCUGAAGCAGCUUCUAGAUUUGGAUGACCUUCCCAUCUGUGCUCAAGGUGGUAGGUAGCCUUUGCUUGUGAACGUUAUCUUAAAGAUUAGAUUAAGUACCCCAAAAAAUCGGGGGAUUUCUUAUUUUUAACCUGGAAAACAAAAUAACGGCCAUGGAACGUAAGACGAAUCCUCCAGUUGAAGCCUGCCCGCUUUGCCCCACCUAGCUCCGAAAACCUUUAAGAUGCUUGGCAAGAGGUGGUGACUCAAUGUGCCUCCUCCCUCCAACCCCCACUCGCCACUGCUUUAUUCAGGUGAAAUCAGGUUAGAACAAAUGUAAAGGGCCUCUUGGAAGCCAACUCUGAGAACUGGCCUUGGACAGGGCUGGCCUAGUCAGGGGGCUGCACUACCAAGCCAACAACCGUGUUGAGCACCCUGUUUAGAUGCAGGCCUAAGGCUCCCAUACACGAAACACUCUGAUGAGCACUUGCUGUAUAUUUCUUAAUGCUCCCUCUUGAUAAGCAAAGCUCUUCAUGCCCAUUUUUAAAUCUAUCAGGAACAGCAAGAGGAAUCAAGGAGUGAAUCGUCAACAGCCAGGACAUGCACUGAACCUCUCUGAGAACCCGCUGACUACUGCCCUACUGCCUCCUAGUUCUCAAGCUCCCAGACCAAUCAGGAUGCAAGUCUGAGUCAGGCCAGCAAGGCUGUGGGCGCAGGGGAAACCCAACUGCCUGCCAUCCUGCCUUCCUGCUCUGAAAAAGGUAGUAAGGACACGUGCCUCAUAGGCUGCCUUCUCCAUUCUGUGAGACUUAGCACCGCUGCCAGUGAAGUAACAACCCCUCAAAACCCUGGGAACUUAAUGUCAUUGGGAACUAGGCUGCCUGCCCCCACCCCCCGGUUCUAUGGGUGAAACUACUGAGGCACAGACACACGGCUCAGUAAGUCACUGAACCCAAGGGCAGAACUUGGGUGACAGUCCUGUGAACCUCAGUCCAGGUUCCUCACUAGUCCAGUGCUGGCUAGGUGUCUACAGACUCUGCCACUGAACCCGGAGCACAGCUGGACUCGAUGCACAGCAAGCCCCAUCUCUGCUCCCAGUGCUGGGAUGACAUUGUCCACUGCCCAGGGACAGGACUCAGAAAUGGAAACCCUCCUUCCGGCAACGUGGCAGCAAAGCUAAGUCCCCGGGCGACCCAGGCCAAGGACAUUUCCGUGGUAGCAGGAUGUUUCUCUCUCAUCAUGUGGAAUCUGUGUGCAAUGGAAGCAUCCUGGAAACAAAAGAAAAGAAGGCAGAAGCCUGGUUAAUGGUUGUGGCCAUGAGCGGUGGUGGGAAGGGACACAUAGGUGCCCCCGGAAUGCCCAAAUUCCGGAGACUCCAAGUCACAGCGGCUCAGCAUCACGUCCAGGGAAAAUGGAAGAAACGGUGUUCUACCAUGCGUCAGAAGAACAGAGACCAACAACACAGAAAACCACCGCAAUGUGGGAACACUUCACUCCUUUUGUAAACUUGGCCAUGUCCUGCUGGAGGAGGCGGGCUCUCAGCUGAUGGCUUCAGGACUAUAGUCAAACCUGAAGAGCCUAAGCAGGAUCCUGGAACCCAGAGGAGGGGGCUCCUGUUCCAGACCCAGCAUGGAAUGGCAGGAUCAUGGAUCAGAAAUGACUGUUGUUGACUACCAUCUUGUGGGAACUGACCCGUAAAAGGCAACAGACCGCAGAGGCUUCGACAGCACCUGUGAUCGUCAAGACCCCUGCUGUCUUCAGGCAGUACAUUCUAAAUGGAGGCUCCCUUCAGCGGGACAGCCCGUCUGCCCACACAUGAACACGCACACUGAAGACACCCUGGAGUCAGCAGCCCUCAAGCUUGUCGUUCACAGGAAGAAAGACUGAAGGCUGAGAAGCCUGUGUUAUUGAAAUACCCACCAAGAGAGGGACCGAAAAGGCACUUGAUGUUUUAGCACACUGCAGUGCUAUCCAGCAGUCCCUGGCAGACACGUGACCGUGACACCAACUGCAGGAGCCUGACUGACUUCUGAUCUGCAGCUGCCUCCCAGUUCUUCUCCAGCGCUCCCAUCUCUUCACACCACCUUCCUCUGAUGGCAGUGACCGCGCAGAAAAGUGACGUCAGAAGGAGCGGGCAGAAAAGUGACGUCAGAAGGAGCGGUGUGAAACAGAUGCCUCAGCAUUGUAUGUCAGGAUGCCCAAGACCAGUGGACCGUGACUCCAGCAGCAGUAAACGUCUUGUCCACUCGACUCAGCUAGACCCGAAGCAGGGCACAGAGGCCUUGCCGUUGAAACAUUAGGGGAGAUCCCACCAUCUGGGGAAAACGUGCCUAGACUUUCCCUGGGAUGGAUCAACUAACCGGGUACAAAGCAAACAGCCCAAGGGAAGAGCUUGGAGGAUGUGUACUCACAAAUGCAGCACAGGCCUUGCUUCCCAACACCCAUCAGCAUGACGUGGCAGAAGUUACAUGUGCACAACAACAACAACAACAACAACAUUCCCCUUAAUAACAGUGAGUCAAAGGGUGCAUUUUGGGCAUGAACAAGUGAAAGGGAUGAAAAUAUAGAGCACCCUGGAGCCAGCCUGGAGCAUACGGCUUGCCCAUCAGGAAGUCUGGAGCAGACACUAGCAACAAUGUGGAAUCAAGAGCUACUAAGUAGUCAACCCUGAGCCUGGAAUUUGGCGAACAGGAAGUUAAGGGCUGAUUUGCCUGAUGGAUUACCCCUUUGGCACCAAGGCCUGUCUCUACCUAAAAUGCUACCAAUGUGCCGGAUGCUGGGCCUGUUGCUUCUCUGAUCCCUUCCUCUUGACCCCUGGGUCCCAGCAGGAAAUUUCAAGGGAAGUCUGUGGACAGGGAAGUUACAUUUGAUGAAAAUAUGAGAAUAUCUCCCUAUCCUGAGACUGUGUGGUUUCAGAUGAAGGAAAAUCGGAGUCCAUGCUCUACAAGCUGACUCUGUGGAAGCAGCAGAUCCCAUGGCUUUGUUGAAAGUGAAAGCUUACCGCUUGGUCCAGGAGUCCGUUUUCAUCAGAAUCAUAGAGACGAAACAUGACUGCAAGAAACACACAGCUUCCAGGGUGCUGCAGCUUCUCCGUCAGAGCCUGGACCGCCGAAUCCCAGCUUUUCUGCAUCCCUGUGGCUGUCAUUCCUUCUUGCCCUCACUGUCCCAGCUUUGGCUGCUUUCAUACCCAUGAGGACUCUUUUCAUAACCAGUACGAUGUACACCACACGGACACGACUGACCCAUGGGCUACACAGAACACUGCCGGUGGGCAAGCCAAUGGAGGCACCAUGAUGCCAAUAAGCAGUGUGUGCUGCCGACAUGGACAGAGGCGGAGGCAGCCUCAAUUGAGAUCGCAAUGCCUGCUGGGGAAGGCAGGAUUACCUCAUACUAUUCGAGAACCAAAGAGCCACAUAAUAGGAGAAAGCGCCAGGACAGCGGAGCUGAGAGAGAAGGCCCGCCCAGUCCUGCCUCGUGGGCUGCCAGUUACAAAGGAGUGAGCUGUCAUUCAGACUGACGGCAGCGAGAUGAGAGGUCCCUGUGUGUUACAGAGGGCCCGUGAAGAGACCCCGAUGGAGCCUACAAAACACAGAAAGGAAGACAGAAAGAUCGAAGAGAGGAAGCUUCACUCAGAAGUCUCACAGGGCCAGAGGUUUAAAGGUAAUUUUCUAUAGGACAAGACACUGGAGCUGAAAGAAAGUAUGGCCUCUAUUAAGGGCAGAAAGCCUCAGAGGUGAGCAGUAGAGAUAAAAAUAGUGUGAAGGAGGUAACAACAGAAGUAGUGAGUUGGGGGCAUUGAGAUGAAAUUACUUAUGCAACCAAACUAUUAAAAUCAUCCCUGGAAGAAAUGCCAUGGAAAUUCAUCACAACAAUGUGGUAAACAAAUGAGAACAUGGUCCUUUGUACUACAGAGUCCCUAAGGCCACAAGCCAUUGCUGUGUGCUCAGGUUACUCAUCCAUUAAAACACCCGCCAUGACUUCCACUUUGUCUUUAACUCAGAGCAACACAGGACCAGACGUAUUGUCCCACCCGACUCAACUAGUACCUGGUCAGAAGAUAUGGAGCAAAUGUUCAGAGGACGUUAUAUUUCAAAUAGGGCCUGGAGAAAAUGGGAGCCAAGAGAGAGGUGAGAUGCCCCCUAGCAUCUUAGCAUUUGGAAGGAGUUUCCAAGUUGUACCAGAAGAGGGAGGGGCACUCUGGCAGAUCCUGGCAUUCUCCGUGAGUUGAGGACAAGGUGGGAGCCUGGAGUGGAGGUUGAGGAGCCACACAGACAGAAACACAGAGACACCUACAAGGCUCCUUUAUUGCGGGUGGAGUCACCUUCAGUUCUACAGCUGAGUGGGGAUUGUCCCUCCCUGGGGAGGAAACUGCCUGAGGCUGGGCAAUGGGGGUGGUCAUGGUUGGGAUGGGGGUAGGGGAAGAAGCAGGACCAGAGGGACAAACUCUGGGAUGGAAAGAAAAGUCCCAUUGAUGAGAAUAAGCAUCCACAUGUUAUGAGAAUCCACAUGUUCCCAAUAGAGGACCCAAAAGAACUCUGCCUCAGCAGUGAGGCAGCAUCAGCUCUGGAUGUUCAAUGGUAUGUGAACACUUGUGACUAUUUCCAGGUAAUCUCAUUUUACCCUAAAACAGCAUAAGGAUAUUUGCUGAAAUGCAAAAACAGCCUGUACUCAGCAUUAAAGAAGAGCUGAUAAGGGUUCUAUACAAAUUCUCCCAGAAAACUUAAGGGAUAAGAAUCCUGCCUAACCCGUUUAAAAAGAGCGGCCUUGCUGCAAGGCCCAAACCAAAGACAUCAUAAGAGGGUGCGUGUCAGCAGGCUUCACGGACAGGGAUGCAGACGCUGCACAGUGUUAACUUAAUAUUCUAAGUAGAAGUUAGCAGAGACUUAAAUGAAGGGACACUGUGUCAAAGGAUUAGACCCAGGGCAUUAAGAUACCAGUGUUUUCUGAUCAUGAGUUCAGCAGAUUUCUAAGAUGAAAUAGCAAAGAUCAGUCAUAAACUAAAAAACCACAUUGAAUUGUAUUUCAUGAAAAUUAAGAAACUUUGGAGAUAGGGUUAAGAGCAUUUCUUGCUCCUGCAGAGGACUCAGGUUCAAUUCCCAGCACCCACAAAUGGUGACUCACAACCACCACUACUCCAGUUGUAGAUCUGAUGCCCUCUUCUGACCUCCAUAGGCACCAGGCAUGAACGUGGUGCACACACAUACAUGCAGGCAAAACAUCCAUACACACACAAUUCACAUAAAGUAAAAUAAAUAAUUCUUUUUUUUUUUGUUUUGUUUUGUUUGGUUUUUCGAGACAGGGUUUCUCCGUGUAGCCUUGGUUGUCCUAGAACUCUCAUUUUAGAUCAGGCUGGCUUUAAACUCACAGAGCCAAUACUUCUUUUAAAAAUUAAGAAAUUUUUGUCUUCCAAAGACCCUGUUAGGGGCAUGGGAGAGGAUCAGUGGGUAAUAGAAAAGAUUUGAACGUUUCUGUAAAGGAUGAUUCACAGACGACCAUUGGUCUACUGAGCACACGGCGGGACGUCACCGGGCAAACGCAAACCCAGGCAGUGAGAGGCCACCCUCCGUGUAUUAGAGGAAUGAGAAAUGCAGAGGCCGACAAGGACCGAGCAGCAGGGGCCUUUGGGCAGCCAGGCGGGUAAAGGGCCCAAUGGUCCUGGAAAAGAGCUUGGCAAUUUCCUAGAAACGGAAAUGUGCACAGCGCCACCAGUUACAUUAUAUCUGCUAUGUGCCUGCUACAUUAUAUCUGGUAUCCCAUUCCAAGGUGUUUGCCCAAGGGGAGUGAAAGUUCUCCCGACAAAGGCUUAUAAAAGAAUACUUACAACAAGUUUUCUUUUUUUGUAAUAAAACCCAAAUGGAAGCUGUACAAAAAUCCCUGUCUCAAGAAAUGGAAUAAUUACGGAAACCCUGUUAGUAUACUAAUUAACAACCAAAAUAUGUUGACAAUUAAUAUACACAAAUGGUUAAAUAUCAAAAUGAUUAUGCCUCCUAACAAAAGAAGUAAGAGCUAAGAAAGGAAAUAUUGCAUGAUGCUGUUCACAGAGAGUCCAGAUGGUGCAGCGACCUUCCUGGUAACAGAAGGCAGAUCACAGAGUGCUUGAAGGCAGAUCACAGAGUGCUUGGAGUGGGCAGGGCUGGAGAAAAGACCCACCAAGAAAUCUUUCAUAGAUGGAGGAUGUGCUCAUUCUCUUGGUGUGCUGCUGGCUUCUACAGAUGCACGCAUACCUCAAAAGUUUUCAAUUUUAUAAUACAAACGUGUAUAGUUUAUUUUCUGCCAACUACAGUUCAACUGAGCUGUGUAAGAAUAUUACUUUUUCCUGAAGAUGGUCCAGUCACUCGAGUUCUGGGUGGAUCAUGAGUUCUAGUUCAUAACCAGGUUUAGUUUACUCCUGCAUUACUGUCCUUCCUUCUCAUGCUCUUACAUAUGAAAUACCCAAACCUCCAGUCAUCAAAAUACAUCUCCCGGUGACUGAAGACAAAUGGCCUCUUCUGUACCACAUCAGCUCUCAUCCAGUGCCCGGCUGUAAGCCCCUUCCCUGAAGGUGGGGUGUGCCUGCCCAUUCUGCCUUUGCACAUAGUCUCUGCAGUACUUGUUGACUUCCAGCGGGGCAGUGUGGCAGAGUGGAGAGUUUGGGGACUCUAGCUCUGGGUUUGCACUAAAUGGAGUGUGACUUGCUCAGGUGGGCUUAUUCGCCAGGCUCAACCUAUUUCUGUUUAAACCCAUUAAAAGAGGUCAUUACAUUAAAACUGAGGUUCACCCCAAGUCUUAAAUGACAGGGAUGUUUGUAAUGAUAAUGUUAAGUGAAAAACAAAUCUAACUCCAAAAUUAAAUAUGGUUUGAUCCCAAUUAUGUAAGAAACCUAUUGAAAAAAAACUACAAGAUCAUACACAUUUAACUGUAAGUAUGAUUGGGUUCAAUUUUCUCUUUUAAAGAUAAAAUUUGUUAAAGAGCAGUUCAGGGUUAUAGCAAAACUAGUAAAGGUACAGAGAUUUCAUUCACACAUGCUGUGGUCCCCCAGGUACGUAGCUACCUUCACAAUCAACAUGCCACAGAGAGUUCUGUAUUUGUCAUAACUGGUGGCCCUACAUUGGCGCGUCACUGUCACACACAGCCUGCAGCCCACAGCAGUGGUCACAUGGGGACUGUGUGUCCCGUGGGUGUGAACAAGGAUUUGGACACACGUCCAUCAUUGUAAUGUUGUGCAGAGGAAUCUCGUCACCCUGCAGUUCCUCUGGGCUUGGCUGUUCGUCUCUUUGUCCUGGACUCAGACAACCACCAAUCUUCAUUAUCUUUAUUGUUUGUUGUUUCUUUGGGGGGCUUAGGGGUUACUCUUCAAAUUGUCUACAGUGUGAGUAUACUUUUAUAACUGGAAAGACUGAAAAAGCAGGGUAUUUCCUUCAGAUAUUCAAUACUGUGGGUGGCUGAAAAAUCUCAACAGGUUAAGAAACGAAGUAAAACCCCAAGGACCCAAAUUCUUCCUUUUCCUAUUGUGAGCUGACAUGUCAGUGACUCUGGAGGGCUUUGGGUCAGUACGUGCACUCUGUGAAAGACCCUUUCUUCUGCCCUGCUCUGGGAAGGAAUGCCUUGAGGUGGGCUGUGCUACAUCUGAGCAUAGGAAGGUAUGAUUGGUGGAGGCCAUGUCAGUCAGAAUCUAGCAUCUUCCGGUGUCUACAGGAAAAGGCUGACAUUUUUCCAGAGAUGGCCAGAUCACAAAUGAGUACAGGACUUGCCUCAUGUAGGAAGGGGCUCCCUGUGAAGCCUUUUUCUAGUCCUAAUUCUUUUUUCUUUUUGUAAACAGGGGCAUUAAUCCAUCUAUUGAAGGAAACCUAUCAGAAAAUGGAUUAUUUCUUAAAUCCCCAGUUUAAAAAAAUAUGAAAAAAAUGAAAUAUCUCCCCGGGCCCCAACUCAGAUAAUUGCCUUUUCAUGAUUUAACCCACACGGCUUGGUGUUUUUCUUCACCAUAAGCAGACAAAACGGUGUAUGACAAAUCACUUCUCCAGGAGGAAGUCUGUGGAAGUUUCUCUUGGAGGCUCAGAAUGAUAGAGCCACUGUGAGUGAGCAGGGCCAUAUCCACCUGUCCUCAAAUGUCUCACGACCUCCCCUCUGUGAUUUCUUCGAUGCUUUCUCCUCAGCCACCAACACAAACGCUGUUCACGUCAUUUUGGGCCUUAAGACAUGAAAUGCAAUCGAAGGUUUCUCUGGAAGUUCCAAGUGCCUGGGUGAGAAUUUGGGGCUGGAAGUUUAAAAACUUGCCCUUUCCUCCCUGUGGGAGAAGGUUUUCUGUCAGAAUUUGAUCUGCUACUCCAUAUGAGAUGUAGGACUAAUUUCACCAGAGGCCCUGGACUAGUGGAGUUAGUUGAAGAGGUGCUGGCAGGAGAGAGUGAGCCAACGACCUUGAAAAGUCUUCUCCUCCAGCUAUCACCAAAGGCAUCGGGAAGGCCCGGGUUCCCUUCAUCCUUGCUUUCUGGAGCUCCACAAGCUGCCUCGAUAGCCUUCUCUUUCCAAAGCAUGUUCUGAGUUCCAUGUAGUGUUAAUUUUCUCUUCUCCCUCUCUCUGGUCUCUCACCCUCUCCCUCUCCCUCUUUCCUAUUCCUCUCACUCUCUCCUACCUCUUAAAAGAGAUUUACUUUUAUUAUUUUCAGUUAUGUAUAGUGUGUGUGUGUCUGUAUGUGGAUAUGCGCUCAUGAGUAUGUGUGUCCGAUCUGGCCUCUGAUCCCCUGGAGCCAGGUUACAGCCACCAGAUAUGGGUGGUGGAAGUGAACUCAGGUCCUCUAGAAGAGCAGCAAGUGCUCUUAACAGCUGAGCCAUCUCGGUGGUCCCUUGCUUUUCUUUUUAGGUGAAAUCUCCAUGUGGCUUAGUCUGGCCUUGAACUCAUGGACUCAAGUGAUCUUCUCACCUCUGCUUCCUGGGAAGUUGGACUUCCAGCAUCUAUUUUAUUACACACACACACACACACACACACACACACACACACACACACACACACACAUAUACACCAUGGCAUCCAGCUCCAUAGUGAAUUUAAAAACAACGACAAACCCCAACUAACUAACUUACCAAUCCUGCCAAACACUGCAAGCCCCAUAAUGCUUCUAGUGUCCCUCUUGGGAAAGAAAAAGAAAAAGCUCAGGAUUACAGCUAGUGUCCAGUUGAAGAGGCUCUCAUGCCAGGUCUCUCCUGAAAUUGUUUCUGUUCUCUUGUAGCUGUGGUUCCUCUCACCUACUUCACCUGACACAUGUUAAAAAUAGGAUGGGACUGCAUUCUUUACCCUCAGUGCUCAUCCCAAGAGCUGGAGUUCACCUUUGUGUGUGUGUAAAUGGUUUCAACAAUAGGAUCCUGUGCAUAGAUCCUUGGAGGGAAUGCCUCUCUGAGUCUUUGUGUUUGAAACCUAAGAGCAAAGUGCAUAGUCCACAAGUGACUUCCUGUCAGAACAGGACGCCAAGGAGACCCGUCAAGCCUGCCAGGAGACUGAGACUCAAGGAAUAGUCUGGCUGACUGUAAUGAGCUAAGGGGAGAAUGUUCAUCUAGAGUGUGGUACAACACUAACUGCUGAUAUUAUUGAACAUUUACUAUGGGCCAGGCACUAUUCUAAGCCUUUGGAUAGUUGCUAACCCAUUCAACCCACAUAACAAUACUCAUUAUCAUCUCGCUUUACAGAGGGGACAGCAAAACACAGACAUUGCUCAAACAGGCCCACAGCUAUCUUCUAGGUACUGUCAGCUGGGAAUGAGGUCCACAUUCUUAACCAACAUGUUCUAUUGCCUUCAGUUCAGAUGGGGAGGGACAAGGACAUGUUCAUUGGACAUGAAAACCAAUGUCAAGGAUGGAGAGUGUUGCCCCCUCCAGUACCUGGGUUUGUCAAGAGCACACAGAAAUGGCUUCUCACUUAUAAACGUGUCAGGAAAGAAUCCAGAUCGGCUGCACCAGAGGUGGGUCAAUGGACCACAGGUGCUGCAGCAGCUCCACCAGGGACUAACUAAAAUGGCACCUUUGAAAGGAGCAGACCGCCUGGCUCCUUGGCUUCCUCACUCUGGGCAGAAAGAGAGCAGAGAUUCGAGGUUGCACAAGUCUGGAUUGAAUCCCCAGCCCCACAACGGUCUCCUUGGCUCCAUUGUGUGAAGCAGUGUAAAUUCGAAGGUCAGAAGGAAAUGAAAUAAGCAGGUACCUAGAAAACAGAUCUUUAAAACGGAUUUUUUGCUGGCUUCUUUUGGCAAUUACUAGAAACUCUGCAACUUGUUCAAAAAUGACACGGAUAUUUCUGUUUUAAAAUUAAAAUUUAAUUCAAUUUUAUGUGUGUGGAUGUUUUUUUCUGCACAUAUAUCUGUGUACCGUUUGCAUGCCUGGUGCCUACGGAGGCAAGAAGAGGGCAUCAGGCAGUCACAGACUAUCGUGAACUACUACUCGGGUGCUGGGAUUCCAACCCGAGUCCUUUGCAAGAGCAGCUAGUGCUCUUAACUGCUGGGUCAUCUCUCCAGCCCCUCAUGAGCGUUGUUUGUUGGCCCAUCAGGACAUACGCUUACACACUUGCUCUACUCACUCCAGUUGUCUAUUGGUAGAAUGUGGAAUCAGGUACGCUUCGGCCUGAGAGCCAGAUCUUGGCACACCGACUCCCAUCUACUCCCACACCUCCUGUGAAGGCUCCUCCUCAUCCCUUGCACAAAACUUAUCAGAAGUAAAUAUCUGGUAACCUGUCCCAAGCCUUGACCUCCUCUGUUCUAGACAAGGGAGGUAAGAACCUUUAAUGAGCCUUAGAAUCCAUCAGUUAUAUGGAUAAAUAACCCAGCUGGCCAACUAGUUCCUUCUCCACCCCUGUGGUGGUUUGGCUAGGACUGGCCCCCAUAGACUCACAGGGAGUGGCACUAUUAGGAGGUGUGGCCUUGUUGGAGGAAGUGUGCCAUUGUAGGGGCAGGCUUUGAGGUUUCAUAUGCUCAAGCUAUGCUCAGUGUGGGACACAGUCUCCUUCUGCUGCCUGUGGAUCAAGAUAUAGAACUCUCAGCUCCUUCUUCAGUAUCAUGUCUGCUUGCAUGCUGCCAUGCUUCUCUGUGGUGAUAUUUUAUUUGUGCUGAAAUGUGAUAUUUUAUUUGUAUGUUAAUAAAUAAAGUUUGCCCAGAGAUCAGAGGUCAUAGCAAGCCAUAAACAGAAGUCAGGCAGUGGUAGCACACGCCCUUAAUCUGAUCACAUGGCAGUCAGAGUCUCUGGGUGUUCAAGGGCACAGUCAAGCAUGGUGACAUGAGCCUUUAAUCCCAGUACCAACCAUAGAGACUAGAGGUCUGUAUAGACAGGCAGUGAUGAGGAAGUGAUGUGGCUGGGAUUAGAGCCAAUGAGAAGGCAGAACAGGAAGACAAUAAAGGCGCAGGUUAGACAGGAAGAAGCUCUCUCUUGGGAAGCUACAGCGAGGUGGUAAGCUAAGGUUUGUUGGUGGCUAUCGCUCUGAUCUCUAUGGCUUGCACCUCUGUA
Molecule: RNA transcript, 27739 nt
Organism: Peromyscus californicus insignis
Lineage: Eukaryota; Metazoa; Chordata; Mammalia; Rodentia; Cricetidae
Exons: 17
Source: RefSeq, a predicted model, not a curated record